RNAcentral lists this long non-coding RNA (521 nucleotides) under Sus scrofa (pig). RNAcentral's name for it is "lncRNA (ENSSSCG00070014470.1)". Lineage: Eukaryota; Metazoa; Chordata; Mammalia; Artiodactyla; Suidae. The record is from RNAcentral.
GAGGUCACUUCUUUGAUCCCCCUGUGAGACCAGUGGAACACAAGGAAUGUUUCCCACUGUAUCAUGUCCAGUAAAUACAACCAGGGGCUUCUGUGUUUUGUCUCCUUCCCCCUUUCUUCCCCAUGAAGGGUGAUUUUUCUCCAUCUUAUUGCGUCACCUGUUUGCUUUAAACUAGAAAACAAAUAACCGCAUCUCUAGUGAGCCUCCCCUUUGUCCCUAGGUAUCAGAAUGGUGCGUGGGUUUGGUUUGAAGCUAAAGAAAGGAGAAAGAGCCAGAGAAGAAGAAAAAAAGAUUCCCUGCAGCCUGCCAGGGACGUGGUAACUGCCCUGCCAAGAGUGAUCCUGGGAGAGCUAUUGAAAGAGCUCUGACUCACGACAACGCUGGAUCAUCAACCCACUGAGUGAGGCCAGAGAUCAAACCCGAGUUUUCCUGCACACCAGUUAGGUUUGUUACCACUGAGCCGCAACAGGAACUCCCAGGAGCUUUAUGAGUGAAUGAAUAAAUGCAUCAUUCCACCCCCA